Molecule: ribosomal RNA, 713 nt
Filed under: uncultured bacterium
Lineage: Bacteria
Description: bacterial SSU rRNA
Rfam family: Bacterial small subunit ribosomal RNA
Source: RNAcentral
AGAGUUUGAUCCUGGCUCAGGACGAACGCUGGCGGCGUGCCUAAUACAUGCAAGUCGAGCGAACCGAUUAAAAGCUUGCUUUUUUGAGGUUAGCGGCGGACGGGUGAGUAACACGUGGGCAACCUGCCCUAUAGACUGGGAUAACUCGCGGAAACGCGUGCUAAUACCGGAUAAUACAACGAAGUGCCUGCUUCAUUGUUGAAAGAUGGCUUUUGCUAUCACUAUAGGAUGGGCCCGCGGCGCAUUAGCUAGUUGGUGGGGUAACGGCCUACCAAGGCGACGAUGCGUAGCCGACCUGAGAGGGUGAUCGGCCACACUGGGACUGAGACACGGCCCAGACUCCUACGGGAGGCAGCAGUAGGGAAUCUUCCACAAUGGACGGAAGUCUGAUGGAGCAACGCCGCGUGAGCGAAGAAGGUCUUCGGAUCGUAAAGCUCUGUUGUAAGGGAAGAAUAAGUACAGUAGUAACUGGCUGUACCUUGGACGGUACCUUACGAGAAAGCCACGGCUAACUACGUGCCAGCAGCCGCGGUAAUACGUAGGUGGCAAGCGUUGUCCGGAAUUAUUGGGCGUAAAGCGCGCGCAGGCGGCCUUUUAAGUCUGAUGUGAAAGCCCCCGGCUUAACCGGGGAGGGUCAUUGGAAACUGGGAGGCUUGAGUGCAGAAGAGGAAAGUGGAAUUCCNAGUGUAGCGGUGAAAUGCGUANAGAUUUGG